CACGUGGACACCUACCCUUAGGUCGGGGAUAAACCCGGGAAACUGGGUAUAAUACCCGAUGGUCCUCGAAUGCUGGAAUGCAUCGAGGUCUAAAGCUCCGGCGCCUAAGGAUGGGUCUGCGGCCUAUCAGGUAGUAGUGGGUGUAGCGUACCUACUAGCCUACGACGGGUACGGGUUGUGAGAGCAAGAGCCCGGAGAUGGAUUCUGAGACACGAAUCCAGGCCCUACGGGGUGCAGCAGGCGCGAAAACUUUACAAUGCUGGCAACAGCGAUAAGGGGACCUCGAGUGCCAGGUUACAAAUCUGGCUGUCGUGAUGCCUAAAAAGCAUUGCAUAGCAAGGGCCGGGCAAGACCGGUGCCAGCCGCCGCGGUAACACCGGCGGCUCGAGUGGUAACCGUUAUUAUUGGGUCUAAAGGGUCUGUAGCCGGCCGGAUAAGUCUCUUGGGAAAUCUGGCAGCUUAACUGUCAGGCUUUCAGGAGAUACUGUCUGGCUCGAGGCCGGGAGAGGUGAGAGGUACUUCAGGGGUAGGGGUGAAAUCUUGUAAUCCUUGAAGGACCACCAGUGGCGAAGGCGUCUCACCAGAACGGACCUGACGGCAAG
This 602-nucleotide ribosomal RNA is filed under the name uncultured archaeon. RNAcentral's name for it is "bacterial SSU rRNA". It matches the Rfam family "Archaeal small subunit ribosomal RNA", at positions 97 to 701 of the family's 1478-position model. The record is from RNAcentral.